AUUGAACGCUGGCGGCAGGCCUAACACAUGCAAGUCGAACGAGUGGCGGACGGGUGAGUAAUGUUUGGGAAACUGCCUGAUGGAGGGGGAUAACUACUGGAAACGGUAGCUAAUACCGCAUACCAUCGGAUGUGCCCAGGUGGGAUUAGCUAGUGGGUGGGGUAAAGGCUCACCAAUGCGACGAUCGCUAGCUGGUCUGAGAGGAUGACCAGCCACACUGGAACUGAGACACGGUCCAGAGUCCGACGGGAGGCAGCAGUGGGGAAUAGUGCGCAAUGGGGGCAAGCCUGAUGCAGCCAUGCCGCGUGAAUGAAGAAGGCCUUCGGGUUGUAAAGUACUUUCGGCAGGGAGGCGUUACCCACAGAAGAAGCACCGGCUAACUCCGUGCCAGCAGCCGCGGUAAUAC
This 406-nucleotide ribosomal RNA is filed under the name uncultured bacterium. RNAcentral describes it as "partial 16S ribosomal RNA". It matches the Rfam family "Bacterial small subunit ribosomal RNA", at positions 29 to 526 of the family's 1533-position model. The record is from RNAcentral.